UGAAUACGAGACGCUAAGGCGUCGAAGUAGUGUAUGUCAUACUUCCAAGAAAAGCUUGCACUGUCAUAAGUAAAAAAUGCCUGUACCAUAACCGACACAGGUGGGUAGGUAGAGUAUACUAAGGGGCGCGAGAUAACUCUCUCUAAGGAACUCGGCAAAAUAACUCCGUAACUUCGGGAGAAGGAGUACCUUAUUCUAUAAGGUUGCAAUAACAAGAUCCAAGCAACUGUUUAUCAAAAACACAGGUCUCCGCUAAGUCGUAAGACGAUGUAUGGGGGCUGACGCCUGCCCAGUGCCAGAAGGUUAAAGAAGUCGGUUAGCAUUAGCGAAGCUGGUAACUGAAGCCCUGGUGAACGGCGGCCGUAACAAUAACGGUCCUAAGGUAGCGAAAUUCCUUGUCGGGUAAAUUCCGACCCGCACGAAAGGCGUAAUGAUUUGGAUACUGUCUCGGAGAGGGGCUCGGUGAAAUAGACUUGUCUGUGAAGAUGCGGACUACCUGCACCAGGACAGAAAGACCCUAUGAAGCUUUACUGUAACUUGAAAUUGAAAUUGGACUUUAUUCGCGCAGUAUAGGUGGGAGGUGUUGAUUAUAAUCUUGCGGGAUUAUUGGAGCCAUCAGUGAGAUACCACUCUUGUAAUGUUAGAUUUCUAACUUUGAAUCAUUAUCUGGUCAAAGGACAGUUUCAGGCGGGCAGUUUGACUGGGGCGGUCCUCCCAAACGGUAACGGAGGCGUACAAAGGUUUCCUCUGAACGGGUAGAAAUCGUAUCUAGAGUGUAAAGGCAUAAGGAAGCUUGACUGUGAGACCUACAAGUCGAACAGGGACGAAAGUCGGUCUUAGUGAUCUGACGGUACUGAGUGGAAAGGCCGUCACUCAACGGAUAAAAGUUACUCUAAGGAUAACAGGCUGAUCUCCCCCAAGAGUUCACAUCGACGGGGAGGUUUGGCACCUCGAUGUCGGCUCGUCGCAUCCUGGGGCGGUAGUACGUCCCAAGGGUUGGGCUGUUCGCCCAUGAAAGCGGUACGCGAGCUGGGUUCGGAACGUCGUGAGACAGUUCGGUCCAUAUCCGGUGUAGGCGUUAGAAUAUUGAGAGGAGCCUUCUUUAGUACGAGAGGACCGAGAAGGACAUACCUCUGGUGUACCAGUUAUCGUGCCAACGGUAAACGCCGGGUAGCUCUGUAUGGAGUGGAUAACCGCUGAAAGCAUCUAAGUGGGAAGCCCACCUCAAGAUAAGUA
This 1236-nucleotide ribosomal RNA is filed under the name metagenome. RNAcentral describes it as "bacterial LSU rRNA". It matches the Rfam family "Bacterial large subunit ribosomal RNA", at positions 1564 to 2810 of the family's 2925-position model. The record is from RNAcentral.